RNAcentral lists this ribosomal RNA (776 nucleotides) under uncultured Neocallimastigales. RNAcentral's name for it is "partial large subunit ribosomal RNA". It matches the Rfam family "Eukaryotic large subunit ribosomal RNA", at positions 23 to 647 of the family's 3401-position model. Lineage: Eukaryota; Fungi; Neocallimastigomycota; Neocallimastigomycetes; Neocallimastigales. The record is from RNAcentral.
AGAGAGAGACAUGCGCGCAUAUCAAUAAGGGAGGAAAAGAAACUAACAAGGAUUCCCCUAGUAACGGCGAGUGAAGCGGGAAGAGCUCAAAUUUGAAAUCUUAAAGGGUUUCCCUUUACGAAUUGUAGUUUAAAGAAGUGUUUUCUGUUGAGGUUUUGGUAAAAGUUCUUUGGAAUAGGACAUCAUAGAGGGUGAGAAUCCCGUAUUUGACCUUUACUUUCAACUUUGUGAUACACUUUCAAAGAGUCGGAUUGUUUGGGAAUGCAGUCCAAAAUGGGUGGUAAAUUUCAUCUAAAGCUAAAUAUUGGCGAGAGACCGAUAGCGAACAAGUACCGUGAGGGAAAGAUGAAAAGAACUUUGAAAAGGAGAGUUAAACAGUACGUGAAAUUGUCAAAAGGGAAGCGUUUGACACCAGUGUUGUUUUUCUGAAAAUCAAUUAAAGAACUGUUUUAUGCUAAGCUGUUUAGACUUUAUCAGCUAAUCUGUUUAGUUUUGAGCUUUUCUUUAAUGCACUUUUCAGUUAACAAGUCAACAUCAAUUUCUUUCGCUGUAAAAAUGCUUGAGGAAGGUGGCUUGAGAUUCGUCUUAAGUGUUUAUAGCCUCUUGCCUAUGCAGUCGGAGAGAUUGAGGUCUGCAGCGUAGAUCCUUCGGGGCUAAAUGCAUUUGUGCUAAGUUAUAGCAUUUUAUAGACAACUUGUUGACUAUGAUUUGUCUUGUAGCUUACUCGCUUAUGUUAUUUUACCUACGCUUAGGAUGUUGACGCAUGAGAUAUACGC